UGUGUGUUUAUGUGUGUGCGUGUGCCGCCACGUACAAUGGGUUGACAGCGAGGGGUGUGUGCUGUUGCCGGCUAGCACGCACACCUCGCUGUGAGUGGCUGAGACAGGCAUCGAUCCGUUGGGGUUAUGCAACGGGGUGUCCGGAAUAUUGAAUUUCAGGCAUGACAGUUGGCUGUCAAUAAUGUUGACAUUCGGCUACAACCUACCAGGGUGUCAUGGAAACAGGGCUGGGGCAGUUAAGGAAGCCACAUCAGCAGGGAGAGAGAAGAUUCCGGUUUUCUUAGAGGCCAUGAAGGCGGAGGAAGAGAGGAAGCAUGUGUUACAGACAGAGGACACUAAAAAGACCCAACAGGAUGGUGUCAAAUUCUAGUCUGGUCACGGAUCCCAUCCCAGGGCCCUUCUCACCCAGACUGACUCCCGACGCCAGCCGCCGAAUACAGUCACUCCCCCAGAAGUAACCAAACACCUGGCUGCAAAGUAGAGCUUUCUCUGGUCGUAACAAUGCUGUGUUUACCAGUAGCCAAAGAUUUACACGGUGACCCAGAGUGACCCAGAGAGACCAGCAGUCUGUCGCCGCUCACCCAGCUAUUCUCCUCG
Long non-coding RNA from Oncorhynchus gorbuscha (pink salmon), 597 nucleotides. RefSeq lists it as uncharacterized. NCBI's taxonomy places the organism in Eukaryota, Metazoa, Chordata, Actinopteri, Salmoniformes, Salmonidae. The transcript has 3 exons. The record is from RefSeq and is a predicted model, not a curated record.